Molecule: ribosomal RNA, 497 nt
Filed under: uncultured bacterium
Lineage: Bacteria
Description: partial 16S ribosomal RNA
Rfam family: Bacterial small subunit ribosomal RNA
Source: RNAcentral
GAUGAACGCUGGCGGCGUGCCUAAUACAUGCAAGUCGAACGGACAGACGAGGCGCUUGCUCCUCUCACGUUAGCGGCGGACGGGUGAAUAACACGUGGAUAACCUACCUAUCAGACUGGGAUAACUUCGAGAAACCGGAGCUAAUACCGGAUAAUAUAUUGAACCGCAUGGUUCAAUAGUGAGAGACGGUUUUGCUGUCACUUAUAGAUGGAUCCGCGCCGCAUUAGCUAGUUGGUACGGUAACGGCUUACCAAGGCGACGAUGCGUAGCCGACCUGAGAGGGUGAUAGGCCACACGGGAACGGAGACACGGUCAAGACUCCUACGGGAGGCAGCAGUAGGGAAUCGGACGCAAUGGGCGAAAGUCUGACGGAGCAACGCCGCGUGAGUGAUGAAGGUCUUCGGAGCGUAAAACUCGGUUAUUAGGGAAGAACAAAUGUGUAAGUAACUAUGCAGGUCUUGACGGUACCUAAUCAGAAAGCCACGGCUAACUACGUG